This 1216-nucleotide long non-coding RNA is filed under the name Olea europaea subsp. europaea. The record is from RNAcentral. Lineage: Eukaryota; Viridiplantae; Streptophyta; Magnoliopsida; Lamiales; Oleaceae.
AGAAUAAUCCUUAUUAUUUUUGGUUCAUUCGCCUCUGGCGAUUCUUCUUUUUUCCUCUUUGAAUAACUGAGUGCCUCUCUAAUUCCUUCUUGAGUGUAAACUUUGAAUAUACUUCAUCUUCAAUAUGAGAUCAUGCAUUACAAGUCUUGAGUGAUCUGUAGUUUUGGUGAUUUCAUGUAUAGUUCUUGAGUGAACUGAGUUUCUUAUGUUCGAGAGGGUUUGUUGUAAUCUUGAAUGAUUUAUGGGUUGUUGAGGCUAUAUUGUAAUUUCGGACGGUAUUUUGAUUACGGUUAAUGUAGUAAUUUCUUCCGGUGGUGGAAGCACAAAAGGGGAUUAGGAGCUUGCUCUGAAACUCUUGCCUUAGGGUGGAAAUUCUGUGUUCUUUCAGUUUUUCAUUUCCUUGCACAUUUAUAUUCUGUAUUUCGUUGAGAUUAUCGACUAAUCGAAUAAACCUAAUCUUAACAAUGGUAUCAGAGCUGUAAUCUUAAGUGAUUUCUAAGUUGUAGAGGCUAUACUGAAAUUUAGGAUGGUAUUUUGAUUUCGGUUAAUGCAGUGAUUUCUUCUGAUGGUGGAAACACAAAAGGAGAUUAGGAGCUUGAUUUGAACCUCUUGUCCUAGAGCAAAAAUUCUGUUUUCUUUCCGUUUUUCAUUUUCUUGCACAUUUAUAUUCUGUAUUUUGUUAAUAUUAUCGACUAAUCGAAUAAACCUAAUCCUAACAGUGGUAGCAGAGCUGUAAGAACAUGGUUCAUGACUUCGAUUGCGUAGAUCUGAAACACUACACACCUGAUUCAGUGGUUUGCUGUUAUUUCUUGAAACCCUAGUCAAGGGAUUUUGGUGACUUCGUUCCAGUUUUACAUUUUAUUGUACAUAUCACACUUUUAUACUUUAAGAUUUUCAAUAAAUCUGAAUAAGAUCCAUAGAUUUGAGACUUUCUUGGCAAUUCCUUUGUCAAUAAACCUUUUGAGUUGUCUGGAAUCUAAGGGUGGUCUUGACUUAAGUCGAAGACCUUGAUAAAACUCCUCUGUAUGUGAUCUUUCUUCUUGUAUAAUACGUGUGUUAUGGAUUGCACUUAUGCUAUAUGAUUUAUCUUAUACUGCAACUGUAUUAUUGUGAAUAAACUUGAGUGAAAUAAAUGAAAAACCUUUUACAGUUGGUGCUAUUGUAUAUUCAUUGUUCCUGUGUAGUAAUACUUGAAUCACUGAAAGAUGUAUAUACU